This is a long non-coding RNA of Sebastes umbrosus (honeycomb rockfish), 475 nucleotides long. RefSeq lists it as uncharacterized. The record is from RefSeq and is a predicted model, not a curated record. The transcript has 3 exons. NCBI's taxonomy places the organism in Eukaryota, Metazoa, Chordata, Actinopteri, Perciformes, Sebastidae.
GUGUGGACGAGCCGAGUCUUUGAAUCUUCCUGCAAGUUCAGCCACAGAGCGCCGGGAUGGAGCCUCCUCCUGAGGGAAGGAAACAAGGAAGGAAGGAAGGAAGGAAGGAUAUAAGGUGUGUCUCAGGCUAUCUUCGGACCAAUCGGUGAUGGCGGUUUGUCCUCUGAGCAGAAACACAGGAUGUGGUUGGAGGGGAGAAGUGAAGCAGACGGGAAGAAACACGGCGGCGUUAUGAGGUUAUGAAGGAGGGAAACCAUAUAAGUACGUCAGUAUCCAUGGAAACCGGCCGUGCAGAGGAAGAGGAAGAGGAAGAUACCCGAAGCUGCCGGAGCGACCGCGCUGCCUCUGGGCCGUCGCAGCGUCCCCUGCAGGCGGGAGGCUGGACGGCGCCUCCAGAGAAGAGAAGAAGGAAGACCGGAAGAGCACAGCAGAGAAAUGAGUGGCGCCUUCAGUGUAGGAAGAAGAGGAGGAAGAU